AACGAACGCUGGCGGCAUGCCUAACACAUGCAAGUCGAACGGGAUCCUAGCUUGCUAGGUGAGAGUGGCGGACGGGUGAGUAACACGUGGGAAUCUGCCUUUUUGGUUCGGGAUAACCGCGGGAAACUGCGGCUAAUACCGAAUGCCCUCGAGAGAGGAAAGAUUUAUCGCCAGAAGAGGAGCCCGCGUCCGAUUAGGUAGUUGGUGGGGUAAAGGCCUACCAAGCCGACGAUCGGGUAGCUGGUCUGAGAGGAUGAUCAGCCACACUGGGGACUGAGAUACGGCCCAGACUCCUACGGGAGGCAGCAGUGGGGAAUAUUGGACAAUGGGGGCAACCCGUGAUCCAGCAAUGCCGGCGUGAGUGAUUGAAGGCCUUAGGGUUAGU
This 385-nucleotide ribosomal RNA is filed under the name uncultured bacterium. Its description in RNAcentral is "bacterial SSU rRNA". It matches the Rfam family "Bacterial small subunit ribosomal RNA", at positions 29 to 427 of the family's 1533-position model. The record is from RNAcentral.